UUCUAUUAUUAUUUUUAACUCGCAGAAUGCUACUCGGAGGAAGAAGCCCUUGUCUGCCAGAACAAUUCCCUCUUCUUCUACAACAAAACAUGCCUCACGGCUGACCAAUACUGUGGGGUUGCUAAUCUCCGCGCUCACAACCUGACCCACUGCCACCAUCCAACUGAGGGAGCUUUAGCAGCUAGUUCAGUUAUUAACAAAAUCUCUCCAAGCGAGGACUUCUUUUUGAAUCGCAUGCUGCAUGUCACAGGCAAGACCUGGGAUGACCUUGGUGUCCUGCAGUGGGAGUUGGUGGGUUACCUGGCCCUUUCGUGGAUCCUGGUCGGCGCCAGCCUCUUCAAGGGGAUUAAGAGUCUUGGAAAAGUAGUCUAUUUUACUGCUACUUUUCCAUAUCUCAUUCUUAUCGUCCUCUUUAUCAGAGGUCUUACACUGGAAGGCUCUUACAAAGGAAUAGAAUUCUACAUUCUAAAAUUCGACGUCACGAGACUCAUGGAGGUGGAAGUGUGGGGCGAUGCCGCAGUACAAAUAUUCUACUCAGCUGGAAUAUGUUUCGGAAGUCUCAUUACACUGUCCUCCUAUAACAAAUUCAACAACAACUGUAUGAGGUGAAUACAGCUCUAAA
Molecule: long non-coding RNA, 622 nt
Organism: Macrobrachium nipponense
Lineage: Eukaryota; Metazoa; Arthropoda; Malacostraca; Decapoda; Palaemonidae
Exons: 3
Source: RefSeq, a predicted model, not a curated record